RNAcentral lists this transfer RNA (86 nucleotides) under candidate division Kazan bacterium RIFCSPHIGHO2_01_FULL_44_14. RNAcentral describes it as "tRNA-Leu". It matches the Rfam family "tRNA". From Rfam's summary of the family: Transfer RNA (tRNA) molecules are approximately 80 nucleotides in length. Their secondary structure includes four short double-helical elements and three loops (D, anti-codon, and T loops). Further hydrogen bonds mediate the characteristic L-shaped molecular structure. tRNAs have two regions of fundamental functional importance: the anti-codon, which is responsible for specific mRNA codon recognition, and the 3' end, to which the tRNAs corresponding amino acid is attached (by aminoacyl-tRNA synthetases). tRNAs cope with the degeneracy of the genetic code in two manners: having more than one tRNA (with a specific anti-codon) for a particular amino acid; and 'wobble' base-pairing, i.e. permitting non-standard base-pairing at the 3rd anti-codon position. RNAcentral also lists the same sequence under 1 other name. The record is from RNAcentral.
GGGCGAGUGGUGGAAUGGUAUACACGCGACACUUAAAAUGUCGUGGCCGUAAGGCCUUGUGGGUUCGAGUCCCACCUUGCCCACCA